GGACAAGGCAACGCUUCUAGAGUUAAUCAUACCCAAUUUAUGCUUCCAAAAGUGUCAACAUGUGAUAUAUAGAGUGCAUUUUCUUGACUAGCUUGUCCUCUGGAACACAAUGGCUUAUUUUUAUUGUUUUUAUUGCAGUGUGAAUAUUGCCUCAUGACUGGAAUGAAUAACAACUUCCCUAUUUAAUUAAGCCAUAUGAGAUUUGCAUUUGUGCUCACUGAAGCCAUCUCCCUUCCUGUGUUAUCGUGGCUGCACCUCAGCUCAGAGGAAAAGGAACAGCUACGCUCUGUGCAGGAAGACAAGACACUCAAUUGCUUGUAUAUUGCCACCCCCAUCCAGGGAAAGGCUGUGAAAUCUCCAUCCUCGGAAAUAUCCAAAAACCAAAUCAAUACAGGCUUGGCCAAUCUACUCUGACUGGAUGUGCCUGAAUAAGAGGGGUAGGACUGGAUGAUUUCCAGAGUUCCCACUAAGUCUCAACUACUCUGUGAGAAAACGAACAGGUCUUGACCUCCUCUAAGAUCACUCACUUGCCUAAAAUGCCUGGGUUGGUGGGCCAGCUCUUCCACGUGGGCAGUCAGCCCAAGAAAAUCCAGCUCUUCCUGAAACCAAAGCAACUGCUCUUGUCCUCUGCUGUACUUCGUCAGUUUCAUGCAGCUUUUUCUCAAGUGUUGCACUAGGAAAAAAUAGAAGCAAAAGUGGUACUUUGGGAAAUGUCAGUGAAUAUGCCUGGCUAAGUGCAUAUAAGGUAAGGAAAAGGCAAAUAAGGAAGAAUUGCAGCCCCAGGGGUAUUGCGACUAACGAUGUUGGCUUGCUUCCUCCUUUCCGUUUAUUGUUGCAACACUGAUGUAAUUGCUAUCAGUCUAGGACACUAAGCCUCAAAUAUACAUUAAUCAUGCCAGAUUGAUGUACUGCUUUAAGGAAAUGCUACUUUUUUUGGUGGUAGUGCAGUUGUUAUGGUGACUCCUCUUCUUUCCUCUUUUAAUACAGGAAGCAAAGAACUAAAUAAAAUAUCAUUUCUUUUAUGAAAUUUAUAAGAAACCUGCUCUGAAGCUGUAACUUGCAGUGAGAUGUUUCAGAAUACUUAACAAUGUUUUUAUUUUACAUUAUUUGACUUUUCACUCUGAAACUCAGAAUUCUGUGGAGUUAUGUGGUAAUAAGAAAUAUAUGGAAGGAAAUGUACGAGUGCUAAACAUGGCUAUAGAGUUAGCAUAUUAAACAGCAGUUCCAGAAGUUCUCAGUGGUAUCCAUUCACAUAUUUUUCAGGCUUGAAGCAUCAGAAAUUCCCAACACGCUUCCUUCAUUACAGUUUUUCUCAUUUCGGUAUGAGUUGUUUCUUAAAGCUAAGAUGAAAGUGCCUAUAACUGUACAAAUUACUUAGUGUUUUACGUCAGCUCACAAUUUUAAACAAAUUUAUCCCAUCAUAACUGGUAAGUGUUGGAUUUCUGCUUUAUAACUAAGAAAUUGAGGCAAUCAGAUGUGCAAGCUUAACCAGCUCUAGCUCUACAGCCAGCACUGACUUGAUUGAAAUUGCUGAAGUUCACUUUGUCUGCAAGCAUGUCCUUCACUCGCUAAAGCUUCUAAGUGAAAAUCAAGGAUGGGCAGACCUGCAGAGUUCUUGAUGCCACUUUGAAUGUAGCUUCACUGAUGCUGAAGAAAGAUUUGCACUCCCAUGAAGCAGAUGUGAAGGAGGAAGAAUGCGGUCUCCUGGAAGGAAGAGAGAGAGAUAAUGGGGAUAAGGGCUCAGGCACAAAGAGGGAGGGAGCUUGGGAAAUUAAGGGAGGGGGCUUGGGAAAUUAAGAACUAUAACUCUUCGGGAAGAAAAGGUUAAAAAAAAAAAAAAAAAAAGCCAAACAAACAAAGAAACAAACAAAAACCAAAGGGAAAAUACUUGAAAUAGCAUAUAAGUCGGGGUGCAGCUGGAAAUGUGCUCAGAGAAGAACGAGGGUCUGAAAAUUGGCAAAAGUAAAUCAGUCCUGGGAAAUACGCAGCCUAAUAACAUUUCUCAUACAAAAACACUAGAAGGUAUCUGUGGUGAAAUGUUGCAUUUGAAUUACUGUGAGAGGAUAAUUUUCCCAGAAGCAGUGUUAUCGUUUUAUCUGCCUCCUAUAUGAAAGCAUCACAGUGGAAGAGAAAUGCUGAAGUUUUAUUAGGAGCAGACUAUCAGUGCAACUUUUUAAUGAGCAAUUUAUCACCCUUACAAGCCCUGAUUUUUAUUAACCUCAUCUGUGGCUGAAGAAUUACUUUCCCAAUCUGAGGCUGGCAGUCAUGAAGCAUCCCCUUAUCAGCAGCAGGCCAUUUGCUUAAAAAGCAGCUCUCAUGGCAAGAGGUAUCUGUUCUUCCUGGUAGUACUACAGCAUGGGACAGAUGCAGUGCCAGUGCCACCUGCUGAAAUGCUCUCUCAGGAGGUGUUCAGAUAUUCAAAAUGGGAUUUCCAGGC
Molecule: long non-coding RNA, 2437 nt
Organism: Coturnix japonica (Japanese quail)
Lineage: Eukaryota; Metazoa; Chordata; Aves; Galliformes; Phasianidae
Source: RefSeq, a predicted model, not a curated record